UCUUCGUCGCCGCUGCCAUCGUCGUCUCGUCGUCGUCAAGCUCUCUUGGUCGCCGACGUGUCUUCGUGCUGCUCCGUACGAUAGACGCGUAUAUACCUACUACGAGUGACCGAUAUGUUUUCGUUUACCGCGUGGCCUGCUACGUAUACGUGGUUACGUGGUCGCAAUCGUACGGGAUCCCGUGAAAGGAUCUCGUUAAGCCUCGCCACGAUCGUAUUUGGACUUUUUCAUCGAAUAAACGGUCCACCGGGAUCGCAUUAAUAUGGAACCCCGACGACCGGUAUAAUUAACUCGUCCACAACGCUUAUUUAUUCGAUCGGCCCGUAUCGCUAUCCGCGUAAAACAGCCUGUCAAACGUGGCCACCGAUGAACCUGUUCCGCGUCGGACUGUGUCGAGAUAAUCCGGAUGGGGCUCCUGAUUGAAACGCGUUGAGACGCGCAGUUGCUUUAAAUACGACAGCAUUAACGAUAGAGGCAUGAAAUUUGCAUCAAAGAAAUUUAAAUGACAAGUAUAUGAAAAAUUUAUGAUGCAAGGAGAAAUAAAAAUUUUCAUUCAUGUACGAGUCCCUUAUAUUCGUUAAACAUGUUUGUUAACGAACUUCUUAAUUUCAUCAAAUAAGUAGAUAAUUAUUAUAUUUCGAUUUUCAAGAAACGAACGUUCCAUUUGUAUAAAUUUAUCGUUGGUCUAUUGCAAGAAGAUGACGUAAAUGACAUUAGAUCUUAAGAUAAACUACGGUAAGCAAGUGCAUUAACGAAAUGUUACUAAUUUCCAAGAAGCAUAUACAAAAAAUAUUCUACCUUUCCGAAAUCAAAAUUCUGGAAAUCUUGCUCCUCGAUCA
Bombus terrestris (buff-tailed bumblebee) is the source of this 839-nucleotide long non-coding RNA. RefSeq lists it as uncharacterized. Lineage: Eukaryota; Metazoa; Arthropoda; Insecta; Hymenoptera; Apidae. The transcript has 3 exons. The record is from RefSeq and is a predicted model, not a curated record.